RNAcentral lists this unclassified non-coding RNA (377 nucleotides) under uncultured Pseudomonadota bacterium. RNAcentral describes it as "uncultured proteobacterium contains 16S-23S intergenic spacer region". Lineage: Bacteria; Pseudomonadati; Pseudomonadota. The record is from RNAcentral.
UCCGGUUUGUCACCGGCAGUCUCCUUAGAGUUCCCACCAUCACGUGCUGGCAAAUAAGGACAAGGGUUGCGCUCGUUACGGGACUUAACCCAACAUCUCACGACACGAGCUGACGACAGCCAUGCAGCACCUGUCUCUCGGUUCCCGAAGGCACCAAGGCAUCUCUGCCAAGUUCCGAGGAUGUCAAGACCUGGUAAGGUCCUUCGCGUUGCGUCGAAUUAAACCACAUGCUCCACCGCUUGUGCGGGUCCCCGUCAAUUCCUUUGAGUUUUAAUCUUGCGACCGUACUCCCCAGGCGGGAAGCUUAAUGCGUUAGCUGCGCCACUGAAGUGUAAACACCCCAACGGCUAGCUUCCAUAGUUUACGGCGUAGACUAC